AACGGGGCGGCGGAGGCGGCAGCGGCUGGCGGCUCAGCCCUGAGUGCAAGUAACAGGAUCACCAUGAUUCUUCAGAGACUCUUCAGGUUGUCCUCUCUUGUUCAGUCUGCAAUCUCAGUCUCUCUGAGGAGGAACAUUGGUGUCACAGCAGUGGCGUUUAAUAAGGAGCUUGAUCCUGUGCAGAAACUCUUCGUGGACAAGAUUAGAGAAUAUAGAACUAAGCGCCAGACAUUUGGAGGACCUGUUGAUGCUGGCCCAGAGUAUCAGCAAGACCUAGACCGGGAGCUUUUUAAGCUUAAACAAAUGUGUGGUAAAGCAGACAUGAAUACAUUCCCUAACUUCACGUUUGAAGACCCCAAGUUCAAAGUUGUUGAGAAACCACAGUCUUGAAGAAGUAAUGUAAAAUUGAUCUGGUAAUUUGUCCUAGUUGAGUUGUACAGCUACCCAGAAGUAACAGAAUAAACACACAUUUCACAGCUGUCAAAUGUUCUUUUAAUUCUGAUUUCAAAUAAAUUAUUUGGUGAUGUUAGGUAUA
This is a non-coding RNA of Odocoileus virginianus texanus, 535 nucleotides long. NCBI's taxonomy places the organism in Eukaryota, Metazoa, Chordata, Mammalia, Artiodactyla, Cervidae. The record is from RefSeq and is a predicted model, not a curated record.